Molecule: ribosomal RNA, 439 nt
Filed under: uncultured archaeon
Lineage: Archaea
Description: bacterial SSU rRNA
Rfam family: Archaeal small subunit ribosomal RNA
Source: RNAcentral
GGACCUGACUGCUAUCGGAUUGAUACUAAGCCAUGCGAGUCAUUGUAGCAAUACAAGGCAUACGGCUCAGUAACGCGUAGUCAACCUAACCUAUGGACGGGAAUAACCUCGGGAAACUGAGAAUAAUGCCCGAUAGAACAUUAUGCCUGGAAUGGUUUAUGUUCCAAAUGAUUUAUCGCCGUAGGAUGGGACUGCGGCCUAUCAGUUUGUUGGUGAGGUAAUGGCCCACCAAGACUAUUACAGGUACGGGCUCUGAGAGGAGUAGCCCGGAGAUGGGUACUGAGACACGGACCCAGGCCCUAUGGGGCGCAGCAGGCGAGAAAACUUUGCAAUGUGCGAAAGCACGACAAGGUUAAUCCGAGUGGUUUCUGUUAAAGAAACCUUUUGUCAGUCCUAGAAACACUGAUGAAUAAGGGGUGGGCAAGUUCUGGUGUCAACC